CUUACAAUGAAAAGAGCCCUUUUGGGCGCUCUUGUAAAGGUAGUGUUACUGUAAGGGUAAAUAAGAUUUGUUAGUCGUACCUUUUGUAUCAGGGGGAUUUAAAAGUAUAAGGAUAAUUUAGUCGAUUUAACUAGAUCUUUGUGUAGACUUGUAGUAGAAUUUAAUGGGGGUAUAGUUUAAGGGGCGACAGAUGUUCGGUAGUUUUGGUAUCUAAUUACUUUGGUUUACAGGGGGUAAAGCUCCUGUAUAUCUAUAAAAUACAUAGGUUUAUAAAACUAGGCUUUGAAUUAGCUAUGUUAAGAUAUUGUUUUUAAAAAUUUUUUUUUAGGUGGUAAGGUAGAUUAAUUUGGUGAAGAUGGAUUUUUUUAGUUUUCUGAAAAAAUGAAUUUAUGGAAUUAGCGAUGAAGUAUUAAAAUAACUCAAACUAGGUGGGAUAGUUUAGCAAAAACAUUUCUUUUUAGUCAAAAAAAAGUAAAGCCUGCCCGGUGCUGUGUAAACGGCUGCGGUAGUUUGACUGUGCGAAGGUAGCAUAAUCAAUUGUCUUUUAAUUGGGGGCUAGAAUGAAAGGUCAAACCUGCCUAGUAAGUUUGUAGGCUGGCAAGUAAAAUUAAGUAGAGGUAAGAAUUCCUUUGUCUUCUAGGGGACGAUAAGACCCUAGAAGCUUUAUUAUAGGUUAGAUAGUAGUGGUGUCGUGAUUUUUUUUUUACUGGGGCGGUAGCAAUAGUUAAACUAUUGUUUUUUGGGGGAUCCUUAUCAUUAAGAUAGUACAGAUAAGUUACUCUAGGGGUAACAGUACAAUAGUUUUGGAGAGAUCUUAUCGAUAAAUAUGCUUGUAACCUCGAUGUU
RNAcentral lists this ribosomal RNA (846 nucleotides) under Gammarus nekkensis. RNAcentral's name for it is "partial large subunit ribosomal RNA". The record is from RNAcentral. Lineage: Eukaryota; Metazoa; Arthropoda; Malacostraca; Amphipoda; Gammaridae.